GGGAUAUUUCGCGCAAGUACUCAAACGAUAUUUUUUCGUACUCAAUAACAACGUAUGUAUUAAGGUAUAUAAAUAUAUAGUUCAACCACUAAAUUAUGUAAACAUUAAUAUUUUUUUUAAUAAAUCAAUAAAAAUUCUAAUCGAUUGAUGACCACGAAAAAUCAACAUUAAAUCGAAACAAUUAUUCAAACUUUCAAUCGAAUUGUUAGUUCAUAAUUCGUGGAAUAACAGACUAUAAUGCAGACAUUAUGACGACUUUAUAAAUUCUAUAAACAUCGACUUCAAAAAUUUACAAACUUUAACACUUUCACUGUCAUUAAUGCAUUACGUAUGUUUACUCGUUUGUAUUAAUAUCUGAUAAAAUGAAAAAUAAAAUGUAGACG
This is a non-coding RNA of Cinara cedri, 383 nucleotides long. The record is from the annotation of a GenBank genome assembly. NCBI's taxonomy places the organism in Eukaryota, Metazoa, Arthropoda, Insecta, Hemiptera, Aphididae.